GGUGUGACUGCGUACCUUUUGUAUAAUGGGUCAGCGACUUAUAUUCUGUAGCAAGGUUAACCGUAUAGGGGAGCCGCAGGGAAACCGAGUCUUAACUGGGCGUUAAGUUGCAGGGUAUAGACCCGAAACCCGGUGAUCUAGCCAUGGGCAGGUUGAAGGUUGGGUAACACUAACUGGAGGACCGAACCGACUAAUGUUGAAAAAUUAGCGGAUGACUUGUGGCUGGGGGUGAAAGGCCAAUCAAACCGGGAGAUAGCUGGUUCUCCCCGAAAGCUAUUUAGGUAGCGCCUCGUGAACUCAUCUUCGGGGGUAGAGCACUGUUUCGGCUAGGGGGUCAUCCCGACUUACCAACCCGAUGCAAACUACGAAUACCGAAGAAUGUUAUCACGGGAGACACACGGCGGGUGCUAACGUCCGUCGUGAAGAGGGAAACAACCCAGACCGCCAGCUAAGGUCCCAAAGUCAUGGUUAAGUGGGAAACGAUGUGGGAAGGCACAGACAGCCAGGAUGUUGGCUUAGAAGCAGCCAUCAUUUAAAGAAAGCGUAAUAGCUCACUGGUCGAGUCGGCCUGCGCGGAAGAUGUAACGGGGCUAAACCAUGCACCGAAGCUGCGGCAGCGACACGAUGUGUUGUUGGGUAGGGGAGCGUUCUGUAAGCCUGCGAAGGUGNNNNCCUGUGAGGGUUGCUGGAGGUAUCAGAAGUGCGAAUGCUGACAUAAGUAACGAUAAAGCGGGUGAAAAGCCCGCUCGCCGGAAGACCAAGGGUUCCUGUCCAACGUUAAUCGGGGCAGGGUGAGUCGACCCCUAAGGCGAGGCCGAAAGGCGUAGUCGAUGGGAAACAGGUUAAUAUUCCUGUACUUGGUGUUACUGCGAAGGGGGGACGGAGAAGGCUAUGUUAGCCGGGCGACGGUUGUCCCGGUUUAAGCAUGUAGGCUGGUUAUCCAGGCAAAUCCGGAUAAUCAAGGCUGAGGUGUGAUGACGAGGCACUACGGUGCUGAAGUAACAAAUGCCCUGCUUCCAGGAAAAGCCUCUAAGCAUCAGGUAACAUCAAAUCGUACCCCAAACCGACACAGGUGGUCAGGUAGAGAAUACCAAGGCGCUUGAGAGAACUCGGGUGAAGGAACUAGGCAAAAUGGUGCCGUAACUUCGGGAGAAGGCACGCUGGUGUGUAGGUGAAGNUGGAGCUGAGACCAGUCGAAGAUACCAGCUGGCUGCAACUGUUUAUUAAAAACACAGCACUGUGCAAACACGAAAGUGGACGUAUACGGUGUGACGCCUGCCCGGUGCCGGAAGGUUAAUUGAUGGGGUUAUCCGUAAGGAGAAGCUCUUGAUCGAAGCCCCGGUAAACGGCGGCCGUAACUAUAACGGUCCUAAGGUAGCGAAAUUCCUUGUCGGGUAAGUUCCGACCUGCACGAAUGGCGUAAUGAUGGCCAGGCUGUCUCCACCCGAGACUCAGUGAAAUUGAACUCGCUGUGAAGAUGCAGUGUACCCGCGGCAAGACGGAAAGACCCCGUGAACCUUUACUAUAGCUUGACACUGAACAUUGAGCCUUGAUGUGUAGGAUAGGUGGGAGGCUUUGAAGCGUGGACGCCAGUCUGCGUGGAGCCAACCUUGAAAUACCACCCUUUAAUGUUUGAUGUUCUAACGUAGGCCCCUUAUCGGGGUUGCGGACAGUGUCUGGUGGGUAGUUUGACUGGGGCGGUCUCCUCCCAAAGCGUAACGGAGGAGCACGAAGGUUAGCUAAUCCUGGUCGGACAUCAGGAGGUUAGUGCAAUGGCAUAAGCUAGCUUGACUGCGAGCGUGACGGCGCGAGCAGGUGCGAAAGCAGGUCAUAGUGAUCCGGUGGUUCUGAAUGGAAGGGCCAUCGCUCAACGGAUAAAAGGUACUCCGGGGAUAACAGGCUGAUACCGCCCAAGAGUUCAUAUCGACGGCGGUGUUUGGCACCUCGAUGUCGGCUCAUCACAUCCUGGGGCUGAAGUAGGUCCCAAGGGUAUGGCUGUUCGCCAUUUAAAGUGGUACGCGAGCUGGGUUUAGAACGUCGUGAGACAGUUCGGUCCCUAUCUGCCGUGGGCGCUGGAGAAUUGAGGGGGGCUGCUCCUAGUACGAGAGGACCGGAGUGGACGCAUCACUGGUGUUCGGGUUGUCAUGCCAAUGGCACUGCCCGGUAGCUAAAUGCGGAAGAGAUAAGUGCUGAAAGCAUCUAAGCACGAAACUUGCCCCGAGAUGAGUUCUCCCUGAGACUUUAAGUCUCCUGAAGGAACGUUNNNNNNNNNNNNNNNNNNGACGUUGAUAGGCCGGGUGUGUAAGCGCAGCGAUGCGUUGAGCUAACCGGUACUAAUGAACCGUGAGGCUUAACCUU
RNAcentral lists this ribosomal RNA (2358 nucleotides) under Klebsiella pneumoniae. Its description in RNAcentral is "bacterial LSU rRNA". It matches the Rfam family "Bacterial large subunit ribosomal RNA", at positions 590 to 2925 of the family's 2925-position model. The record is from RNAcentral. RNAcentral also lists the same sequence under 1 other name. Lineage: Bacteria; Pseudomonadati; Pseudomonadota; Gammaproteobacteria; Enterobacterales; Enterobacteriaceae.